Molecule: ribosomal RNA, 2892 nt
Filed under: Neisseria gonorrhoeae
Lineage: Bacteria; Pseudomonadati; Pseudomonadota; Betaproteobacteria; Neisseriales; Neisseriaceae
Description: 23S ribosomal RNA
Rfam family: Bacterial large subunit ribosomal RNA
Source: RNAcentral
GGUCAAGUGAAUAAGUGCAUCAGGCGGAUGCCUUGGCGAUGAUAGGCGACGAAGGACGUGUAAGCCUGCGAAAAGCGCGGGGGAGCUGGCAAUAAAGCUAUGAUUCCGCGAUGUCCGAAUGGGGAAACCCACUGCAUUCUGUGCAGUAUCCUAAGUUGAAUACAUAGGCUUAGAGAAGCGAACCCGGAGAACUGAACCAUCUAAGUACCCGGAGGAAAAGAAAUCAACCGAGAUUCCGCAAGUAGUGGCGAGCGAACGCGGAGGAGCCUGUACGUAAUAACUGUCGAGAUAGAAGAACAAGCUGGGAAGCUUGACCAUAGCGGGUGACAGUCCCGUAUUCGAAAUCUCAACAGCGGUACUAAGCGUACGAAAAGUAGGGCGGGACACGUGAAAUCCUGUCUGAAUAUGGGGGGACCAUCCUCCAAGGCUAAAUACUCAUCAUCGACCGAUAGUGAACCAGUACCGUGAGGGAAAGGCGAAAAGAACCCCGGGAGGGGAGUGAAACAGAACCUGAAACCUGAUGCAUACAAACAGUGGGAGCGCCCUAGUGGUGUGACUGCGUACCUUUUGUAUAAUGGGUCAACGACUUACAUUCAGUAGCGAGCUUAACCGGAUAGGGGAGGCGUAGGGAAACCGAGUCUUAAUAGGGCGAUGAGUUGCUGGGUGUAGACCCGAAACCGAGUGAUCUAUCCAUGGUCAGGUUGAAGGUGCCGUAACAGGUACUGGAGGACCGAACCCACGCAUGUUGCAAAAUGCGGGGAUGAGCUGUGGGUAGGGGUGAAAGGCUAAACAAACUCGGAGAUAGCUGGUUCUCCCCGAAAACUAUUUAGGUAGUGCCUCGAGCAAGACACUGAUGGGGGUAAAGCACUGUUAUGGCUAGGGGGUUAUUGCAACUUACCAACCCAUGGCAAACUCAGAAUACCAUCAAGUGGUUCCUCGGGAGACAGACAGCGGGUGCUAACGUCCGUUGUCAAGAGGGAAACAACCCAGACCGCCGGCUAAGGUCCCAAAUGAUAGAUUAAGUGGUAAACGAAGUGGGAAGGCACAGACAGCCAGGAUGUUGGCUUAGAAGCAGCCAUCAUUUAAAGAAAGCGUAAUAGCUCACUGGUCGAGUCGUCCUGCGCGGAAGAUGUAACGGGGCUCAAAUCUAUAACCGAAGCUGCGGAUGCCGGUUUACCGGCAUGGUAGGGGAGCGUUCUGUAGGCUGAUGAAGGUGCAUUGUAAAGUGUGCUGGAGGUAUCAGAAGUGCGAAUGUUGACAUGAGUAGCGAUAAAGCGGGUGAAAAGCCCGCUCGCCGAAAGCCCAAGGUUUCCUACGCAACGUUCAUCGGCGUAGGGUAAGUCGGCCCCUAAGGCGAGGCAGAAAUGCGUAGUCGAUGGGAAACAGGUUAAUAUUCCUGUACUUGAUUCAAAUGCGAUGUGGGGACGGAGAAGGUUAGGUUGGCAAGCUGUUGGAAUAGCUUGUUUAAGCCGGUAGGUGGAAGACUUAGGCAAAUCCGGGUUUUCUUAACACCGAGAAGUGAUGACGAGUGUCUACGGACACGAAGCAACCGAUACCACGCUUCCAGGAAAAGCCACUAAGCUUCAGUUUGAAUCGAACCGUACCGCAAACCGACACAGGUGGGCAGGAUGAGAAUUCUAAGGCGCUUGAGAGAACUCGGGAGAAGGAACUCGGCAAAUUGAUACCGUAACUUCGGGAGAAGGUAUGCCCUCUAAGGUUAAGGACUUGCUCCGUAAGCCCCGGAGGGUCGCAGAGAAUAGGUGGCUGCGACUGUUUAUUAAAAACACAGCACUCUGCCAACACGAAAGUGGACGUAUAGGGUGUGACGCCUGCCCGGUGCCGGAAGGUUAAUUGAAGAUGUGCAAGCAUCGGAUCGAAGCCCCGGUAAACGGCGGCCGUAACUAUAACGGUCCUAAGGUAGCGAAAUUCCUUGUCGGGUAAGUUCCGACCCGCACGAAUGGCGUAACGAUGGCCACACUGUCUCCUCCCGAGACUCAGCGAAGUUGAAGUGGUUGUGAAGAUGCAAUCUACCCGCUGCUAGACGGAAAGACCCCGUGAACCUUUACUGUAGCUUUGCAUUGGACUUUGAAGUCACUUGUGUAGGAUAGGUGGGAGGCUUGGAAGCAGAGACGCCAGUCUCUGUGGAGUCGUCCUUGAAAUACCACCCUGGUGUCUUUGAGGUUCUAACCCAGACCCGUCAUCCGGGUCGGGGACCGUGCAUGGUAGGCAGUUUGACUGGGGCGGUCUCCUCCCAAAGCGUAACGGAGGAGUUCGAAGGUUACCUAGGUCCGGUCGGAAAUCGGACUGAUAGUGCAAUGGCAAAAGGUAGCUUAACUGCGAGACCGACAAGUCGGGCAGGUGCGAAAGCAGGACAUAGUGAUCCGGUGGUUCUGUAUGGAAGGGCCAUCGCUCAACGGAUAAAAGGUACUCCGGGGAUAACAGGCUGAUUCCGCCCAAGAGUUCAUAUCGACGGCGGAGUUUGGCACCUCGAUGUCGGCUCAUCACAUCCUGGGGCUGUAGUCGGUCCCAAGGGUAUGGCUGUUCGCCAUUUAAAGUGGUACGUGAGCUGGGUUUAAAACGUCGUGAGACAGUUUGGUCCCUAUCUGCAGUGGGCGUUGGAAGUUUGACGGGGGCUGCUCCUAGUACGAGAGGACCGGAGUGGACGAACCUCUGGUGUACCGGUUGUAACGCCAGUUGCAUAGCCGGGUAGCUAAGUUCGGAAGAGAUAAGCGCUGAAAGCAUCUAAGCGCGAAACUCGCCUGAAGAUGAGACUUCCCUUGCGGUUUAACCGCACUAAAGGGUCGUUCGAGACCAGGACGUUGAUAGGUGGGGUGUGGAAGCGCGGUAACGCGUGAAGCUAACCCAUACUAAUUGCCCGUGAGGCUUGACUCU